This 321-nucleotide ribosomal RNA is filed under the name uncultured eukaryote. Its description in RNAcentral is "partial 18S ribosomal RNA". It matches the Rfam family "Eukaryotic small subunit ribosomal RNA", at positions 1470 to 1796 of the family's 1831-position model. The record is from RNAcentral.
CCCUUAGAUGUCCUGGGCCGCACGCGCGCUACACUGACAUGUUCAACAAGCCUCCUAGUUCGACAGGAUUUGGGAAAUCUUUGAACGCAUGUCGUGAUAGGGAUAGAUCAUUGCAAUUAUUGAUCUUGAACGAGGAAUUCCUAGUAAACGCGAGUCAUCAGCUCGCAUUGAUUACGUCCCUGCCCUUCGUACACACCGCCCGUCGCACCUACCGAUUGAAUGUUUCGGUGAAGAUUCCGGAUAGGACUUUUUUGAUUUAUUUCAAUUUUGUCUUAAAAGCUAUCUAAACCUCAACAUUUAGAGGAAGGUGAAGUCGUAACA